RNAcentral lists this ribosomal RNA (481 nucleotides) under Streptococcus cristatus. RNAcentral's name for it is "bacterial SSU rRNA". It matches the Rfam family "Bacterial small subunit ribosomal RNA", at positions 28 to 496 of the family's 1533-position model. Lineage: Bacteria; Bacillati; Bacillota; Bacilli; Lactobacillales; Streptococcaceae. The record is from RNAcentral.
GACGAACGCUGGCGGCGUGCCUAAUACAUGCAAGUAGAACGCUGAAGGAGGAGCUUGCUCUUCUGGAUGAGUUGCGAACGGGUGAGUAACGCGUAGGUAACCUGCCUGGUAGCGGGGGAUAACUAUUGGAAACGAUAGCUAAUACCGCAUAAUAUUGACUAUUGCAUGAUAGUCAAUUGAAAGGUGCAAAUGCACCACUACCAGAUGGACCUGCGUUGUAUUAGCUAGUUGGUGGGGUAACGGCUCACCAAGGCGACGAUACAUAGCCGACCUGAGAGGGUGAUCGGCCACACUGGGACUGAGACACGGCCCAGACUCCUACGGGAGGCAGCAGUAGGGAAUCUUCGGCAAUGGACGGAAGUCUGACCGAGCAACGCCGCGUGAGUGAAGAAGGUUUUCGGAUCGUAAAGCUCUGUUGUAAGAGAAGAACGAGUGUGAGAGUGGAAAGUUCACACUGGACGUAUCUACCAGAAAGGACGCA